CGGUUAAGUUAGAAAGGGCGCACGGUGGAUGCCUUGGCACUAGGAGCCGAUGAAGGACGGGACUAACACCGAUAUGCUUCGGGGAGCUGUAAGUAAGCUUUGAUCCGGAGAUUUCCGAAUGGGGAAACCCACUGUUCGUAAUGGAACAGUAUCUUUACCUGAAUACAUAGGGUACUGAAGGCAGACCCGGGGAACUGAAACAUCUAAGUACCCGGAGGAAGAGAAAGCAAACGCGAUUUCCUGAGUAGCGGCGAGCGAAACGGAAUUAGCCCAAACCAAGAGGC
This 284-nucleotide ribosomal RNA is filed under the name Peribacillus simplex. Its description in RNAcentral is "Bacillus simplex partial 23S ribosomal RNA". It matches the Rfam family "Bacterial large subunit ribosomal RNA", at positions 1 to 282 of the family's 2925-position model. Lineage: Bacteria; Bacillati; Bacillota; Bacilli; Caryophanales; Bacillaceae. The record is from RNAcentral.